CUACGUGCCAGCAGCCGCGGUAAUACAGAGGGUGCAAGCGUUAAUCGGAAUUACUGGGCGUAAAGCGAGCGUAGGUGGUCAUUUAAGUCAGAUGUGAAAUCCCCGGGCUUAACCUGGGAACUGCAUCUGAUACUGGGUGACUAGAGUAGGUGAGAGGGAAGUAGAAUUCCAGGUGUAGCGGUGAAAUGCGUAGAGAUCUGGAGGAAUACCGAUGGCGAAGGCAGCUUCCUGGCAUCAUACUGACACUGAGGUUCGAAAGCGUGGGUAGCAAACAGGAUUAGAUACCCUGGUAGUCCACGCCGUAAACGAUGUCUACCAGUCGUUGGGUCUCUUGAAGACUUAGUGACGCAGUUAACGCGAUAAGUAGACCGCCUGGGGAGUACGGCCGCAAGGUUAAAACUCAAAUGAAUUGACGGGGGCCCGCACAAGCGGUGGAGCAUGUGGUUUAAUUCGAUGCAACGCGAAGAACCUUACCUACUCUUGAC
This 485-nucleotide ribosomal RNA is filed under the name uncultured bacterium. RNAcentral describes it as "bacterial SSU rRNA". It matches the Rfam family "Bacterial small subunit ribosomal RNA", at positions 501 to 985 of the family's 1533-position model. The record is from RNAcentral.